UAAUUUGAUCAGUCCAAAGUGCUCUUGAAUUCCUUCAAUGAGAUCAGGGGCCUAUUACAGACAUUAUGUUGAAUAAAUUAGAAAUAUUAGAAUGAUUAAUUAAGCAAUUUUUGUUGCAAAAAAAUUGAGAUUUUUGUGGAGCAGUUCUUAACUACAUUUUUUUUUCUGUACUGCUAAUGUCUUCUAACACUACACAGUAGUCAGAGGGGGGCACUACUAGAGGGGGGAGGUAACUGUGACCUUACCACACUCCUGUUACAAUAAAGCUGUAACAAACAUCAUGUCAGAGAAUAUAUCUUUCUCGGUAACAUUUUCUGUUUCAGUAAAUAUAGUCCUACAAGACCUUUAUGUACAUGCUUAAUUGUUUGUACAGGAAUACACUGACUGUAGUCAGUAGGAAUACUCAUAUGCUUAGAGUUAAGAACACGCGUAAAAAUUUCCAGGACUGGGGCCUGUCUUUUCCCAGUGGAGAAUUAUGCUCUUACACAGGCAUCUCCCCUGGUGUGGUUAUAUAAAUCUGGCCCUUUAAGUUGUACAGAGCCAAACUGCUCCAGUCUUAUUGUAGCCAUUUUGCAACUCCUGACUGCUUGGUGCCUGUUCUGUCUCAUAACUGGUUAGUAUGUGUUAUGCUUUCCCACAGCUCUCUCUUCUUCCUGCAUCUCACGCAUGUGAUUGAAAAAGGUUCAUCCAGUGUGCCUUCAUAUCCCCGUGAGAAAACUGCAUGUAGCAAGCCAGAAAACAUGGGAGUUUAAGACAAGGCUGUUCCCAUAAGAACUCUCUUUUGCAUAUUUGCUGUUAUCUAGUUAUGGCAGAAGAAGACAUUUCUUCACCCUUACCCUCUCCUAGGACAACUGCUAAAUCUUGAUGCCAAGUCUCAAGAAGCCAAGACUACUAAGAUUAUUGAUCUGUGCCUCUGAGUCAGAUUCGGAUACCAGGAGUAUCAUGAGGGCUAAUGUUUGAGGGGUCUAAUUUUUAAGGAAACAAUGUAGUGAUUAUUAUGCCACCCAUUCCACCUCUUCUAGUUUUAGCUCUUCAGUCUGAGGAGUUCUGCCUUCUCAAGACUUCAAACACAAGCUUUUGUAGUAUCUCAGCACAGACAUUGCAACAGUGGUAGCUGAGCACUUUUUGCAGAACUGAAAAAUUUCCUUCCUGGAAGUUUUUCCUUGGAACAUAAAUGCAGGAAUCAUGUUCUGACCUGUAAUUUGUCUCAUACAUUGGGAAUAUAAUGUACACUCUAUCAGCAAUGUAGAAAUGGGCAAAUUUCUGUCUUCCAAACUUAAUGGGAAUCACAUUUAGUCAGUGUGCAAAAACAAAGAUAAACAAGCAUGUUCCAUAUGAGCAGUGGGCUGUGCUACAUGUAAAUCUGACUGAAGGUAUUUGUAAUAACUUGACAAAACUGCCAUUCAAUAUUUUAAAACGUAUUUUAUCUCUGAAGCUGAGAAGCAGGAUAUGUCAAUCUCACAUUUAAUUUAUCUACUACACAAAUGUGAGAUUUCUCAACUUUUACUUUGCCCAGCAAGAUUAGAGGCAUAUUUCUGCUCCAUUAUCCACAGAUUACACACUGUGAAUGUCUACAAGCAGUAAGUGAGGUGCUUAUUACACAAAAUAAUAUGUAUAAAGCAAAAUUAAUAUUUGUAUUAGAAUUCCUUUCUCAGAUACAGAGAACAUAAUUCCUGUUGAUUCCUUUUUAGAGUGCUAGACGUGGUAUUUUACUACAUGCUUCUAUUUAGUUUCUUUUUCAUUUGCUGCUAAAUAUAUGUGCUCUGGUCAUAUUAAGUAGUUAAAAUAUCAUUUAAAAUUUAGAUACGGGGAACUAAAUGGAGUACUCAACAAUUUUUAUGGCACCAAUGUUAAAACCUCAGCUUUUUUUACAUGGUGGAUAAUGCUUUCAACUUAGGCUAACUCUUACACAUUCAAAUUGGAUUUAGCCAAAUUCUGCCCUCACUCAACAGCUUUGUCGUCAAAAAUACUGACAACAGGGGCAGCACAAGGAUAACCAAGAGCAAGACUUAUCUUCUAUAUUCAUUGAGCAUAGUUAAUUCCUAGUUAAAGCAUGGGGAUUGACCUCAAUUAACACAGAUUCAUUUUUCUUUUGAAUCUGCAUUUCAAAGGAUCUGGUGGCAUUUAUUUAACCCUUGUAAUAUCAGGAAUGAGUCUUUCACCUGAGAUUAUAGCUUAAUAGUCCCUCAGCCCCACCUUCCUAAAACUCUGUGAGAUUUUUGCCACCCCAGAGUUCUGACUCCCCGUCUUUUCAGUGGCUUUUUUCUCACCUGCCAUAGAAAUAUAUUUACUUAGAAAAAAGCAGAAUCUCAUCUUCCUUAGAAGCCUCCCUGAGCAUAUUAGCAUUUUCUGUCAAAUGAUCUGAAUGUGAUUUACAAAUAAUCCAAGUAUCCAACUGUUCUCUUGUUUCUCUGUGGCACAAGUAAAUAGUAGCAACAUCCUCGGAAGGUGCAUCCUCUGCCCCUCUGUUUUAGAGAGGGGCAGACAACAUUCUGCAGUCACAGCACUGCUUUACAGGACAAUUCAAGUUCAUGAAAGGCCCACUUCUGGGCAGACAAAAAACAUUAUCUGAGGAGCACCCAUUGUACUUAAGUCAAAGUUUUAUCUUCUGUCUCAACGCCUGGAUAAACAAGAAGCCACUCUUGAUUACCCACUCCUUGGUUAAGCAGCUUGCAAUUCAAGGGAGAUACUGAGAGAUUUGGGAAGGUGAGUGAAAAGACAGUAUAAAGUUCUGUCACUUUCUCUUUUUGCUCCGUAUGGAACCACCAUGCACACAGCUGCUUCUCAAGCAUGAUUUAGAGCAGGCUGUUCAUGUUCUCACCUAAUUGUAUGGUAAACGUCUGCAAAAUGGGACCAUGUGAUCAAACUGGCUAGAAAUAUGAGGUCAUGACAUCAAAAGUUCAGUUCUAUAGUGAAAAUAUGGCUUUCAGGUGCUGCUAGCUUCAAAGCUCACCAACAAAAUGAAGAAGAAAUCUAUAUUUGGAGAUCUUCAUGUAAAGUAUUAACAUUUACUGUUCAUGUUUUGGUUACAUAUAUGUAUGUUUAAUAAAAUUAUCCAGCUUGUGAAUUUAAGACAUUCCAGAAAAAAGUAAUAGAUACAUUUUUUUUCUGCCA
This is a long non-coding RNA of Numida meleagris (helmeted guineafowl), 3114 nucleotides long. RefSeq lists it as uncharacterized. The record is from RefSeq and is a predicted model, not a curated record. Lineage: Eukaryota; Metazoa; Chordata; Aves; Galliformes; Numididae. The transcript is spliced from 2 exons.